UGCUUGUGUGUGAAGACAUUUUCCCCCUUGGCAGAAUUUAAGCUCUGAGUGGGCUGCUGUCUGUCUGAUGUGGAGCACGAUGGAAGAAUUCUGCCUUUGUCUCCAUUGAAGAUGAAAAUGAUUUAGAGCUGGCUCAGUAACAUGCCACAGAGAGAUGUGCCAAGGCCUGAUGAGAGAGGUGAGCCAAAGCUGCUCUGGAGCCAGAUGUGUAACUGGGUAGGGUGCAGUCCCCUGCAAGGUGCAUGUUAUGAGAGGCUGCACUGAGGGGGGGAAGGACCCUCAGCAAGUGACCUGUGGUGGGGGAACACUGAUGAGGUGCUGGCUUUGCAUGAUGCCAGGGAUGCUAUGGACCUGCAAUGGGAAGCUGGCGCCUGCCUGGGCUCCACAGUGUGCAUCUUGAAUGUUGAUUAAGUUUACAGUAAAGGACACAAUGGGACCAAGCGUUGGUGACCAAGAAGGUGAGACUGGAGAUGUGUUCAUAGGUUGAGCCUUCAAGAUCAUCCAAGCAGAAGAGGACACUAGCUGGUUUUGCUUGUAGAGCUGAAGCCACUGACAGCUCAGAUCAGCAUCUCACCACAUCAACCAGCUCUGUGCACUGCAACCACCAGGACAGAGACAACUCUUCUUCCGUGUACAAAUGUGAUGGCUCUUAGUGGAGGCUGGACCUGUGACCCUGUCCUCAGCAAGGAGGCAACUGAGAAAAGGAGUGUGACAGACAAUGUGUGAUGCUGAGAAACCCAGGGGAGAUGAAAGCUUUCAUCCUACCCUUCCAGUCGUUGAAUUUAGGUGUCCUCUUUGCCCAUCUUCGCAAUGAAACUAAUUUGAGUAAAUUCUGAGAAGUCCAAUGGCAUGAAUACACCGUUCCACAAAGCAGCUGAAAAAUAAGUAUUUGUGUGAAAUAGUAUUUCAAUCACAGAAGUCAAGGGUGAUGGCACCAACACGACAGUAAACUGCACUUACCCAAGCCCCUCACGCAUGCACCCUUCACAUGAAUGGAUGAGUGAAUGGAUGAAUAAAUAAAAGUCAAACAAAGAGCUGGGUUCACUGUAGUCAUGAGUCAGCCAGGCUUAAGUAAGGAAGAAGAACUGUCAGAUUUUGAGCUGAUCAGCUGAACUGAUGAAA
Molecule: long non-coding RNA, 1122 nt
Organism: Pezoporus occidentalis (night parrot)
Lineage: Eukaryota; Metazoa; Chordata; Aves; Psittaciformes; Psittacidae
Exons: 3
Source: RefSeq, a predicted model, not a curated record